This 253-nucleotide ribosomal RNA is filed under the name uncultured bacterium. Its description in RNAcentral is "partial 16S ribosomal RNA". It matches the Rfam family "Bacterial small subunit ribosomal RNA", at positions 524 to 776 of the family's 1533-position model. The record is from RNAcentral.
UACGAAGGGGGCUAGCGUUGUUCGGAUUUACUGGGCGUAAAGCGCACGUAGGCGGAUCUUUAAGUCAGAGGUGAAAUCCCAAGGCUCAACCUUGGAACUGCCUUUGAUACUGGGGAUCUUGAGUCCGGGAGAGGUGAGUGGAACUGCGAGUGUAGAGGUGAAAUUCGUAGAUAUUCGCAGGAACACCAGUGGCGAAGGCGGCUUACUGGUCCAUAACUGACGCUGAGGUGCGAAAGCGCGGGGAGCAAACAGG